This 73-nucleotide transfer RNA is filed under the name Camelus bactrianus (Bactrian camel). It matches the Rfam family "tRNA". Rfam says of the family: Transfer RNA (tRNA) molecules are approximately 80 nucleotides in length. Their secondary structure includes four short double-helical elements and three loops (D, anti-codon, and T loops). RNAcentral also lists the same sequence under 2 other names. The record is from Rfam by way of RNAcentral. Lineage: Eukaryota; Metazoa; Chordata; Mammalia; Artiodactyla; Camelidae.
GAGGGUAGAGCUUAAAUGGUAGAGCACGUGCUUAGCACGCAUGAGGUCCUGGGUUCAAUCCCCGGUAUCUCUU